UCCCACUUGCUCUCAGGAACCCUGGGC
Molecule: non-coding RNA, 27 nt
Filed under: Homo sapiens (human)
Lineage: Eukaryota; Metazoa; Chordata; Mammalia; Primates; Hominidae
Source: RNAcentral